UCGAGAAUAUUCCGCAAUGGACGAAAGUCUGACGGAGCGACGCCGCGUGAUUGAUGAAGUCCUUCGGGACGUAAAGAUCUUUUAUGAGGGAGGAAGUUUAUUGACGUUACCUCAUGAAUAAGGGGCUUCAAAUCUCGUGCCAGCAGAAGCGGUAAUACGAGAGCCCCAAGCGUUAUCCGGAAUUAUUGGGCGUAAAGGGUGUGUAGGCGGCAUUGUUAGUCUUUUGUUAAAUUCUUCGGCUUAACCGGGGGUCUGCGAGAGAUACGGCAAUGCUAGAGGAUGCGAGAGGUACAUGGAACUCAUAGUGUAGGGGUGAAAUCCGUUGAUAUUAUGGGGAACACCGAAUGCGAAGGCAAUGUACUGGCGCACUCCUGACGCUGAAACACGAAAGCGUGGGUAG
Molecule: ribosomal RNA, 400 nt
Filed under: uncultured bacterium
Lineage: Bacteria
Description: bacterial SSU rRNA
Rfam family: Bacterial small subunit ribosomal RNA
Source: RNAcentral